This 549-nucleotide ribosomal RNA is filed under the name uncultured Glomeromycotina. RNAcentral describes it as "SSU rRNA". It matches the Rfam family "Eukaryotic small subunit ribosomal RNA", at positions 548 to 1098 of the family's 1831-position model. The record is from RNAcentral. Lineage: Eukaryota; Fungi; Glomeromycota.
UUGGAGGGCAAGUCUGGUGCCAGCAGCCGCGGUAAUUCCAGCUCCAAUAGCGUAUAUUAAAGUUGUUGCAGUUAACAAGCUCGUAGUUGAAUUUCGGGAUCAACAUGUCGGUCGUGCCUCCGGUACGUACUGGCAUCGUUGGUUUCUACCUUCUGACAAACCAUGAUGUCAUUAAUUUGGUGUCAUGGGGAAUCAGGACUGUUACUUUGAAAAAAUUAGAGUGUUUAAAGCAGGCACACGCUUGAAUACAUUAGCAUGGAAUAAUGAAAUAGGACGUUUGACCCUAUUUUGUUGGUUUCUAGGAUCGACGUAAUGAUUAAUAGGGAUAGUUGGGGGCAUUAGUAUUCAAUUGUCAGAGGUGAAAUUCUUGGAUUUAUUGAAGACUAACUACUGCGAAAGCAUUUGCCAAGGAUGUUUUCAUUAAUCAAGAACGAAAGUUAGGGGAUCGAAGACGAUCAGAUACCGUCGUAGUCUUAACCAUAAUCUAUGCCGACUAGGGAUCGGAUGAUGUUAAUUUUUUAAUGACUCAUUCGGCGCCUUACGGGAAAC